GAUGAACGCUGGCGGCGUGCCUAAUACAUGCAAGUCGAACGCUUUGUGGUUCAACUGAUUUGAAGAGCUUGCUCAGAUAUGACGAUGGACAUUGCAAAGAGUGGCGAACGGGUGAGUAACACGUGGGAAACCUACCUCUUAGCAGGGGAUAACAUUUGGAAACAGAUGCUAAUACCGUAUAAUAAUGACAACCGCAUGGUUGUUAUUUAAAAGAUGGUUCUGCUAUCACUAAGAGAUGGUCCCGCGGUGCAUUAGCUAGUUGGUAAGGUAAUGGCUUACCAAGGCGAUGAUGCAUAGCCGAGUUGAGAGACUGAUCGGCCACAAUGGGACUGAGACACGGCCCAUACUCCUACGGGAGGCAGCAGUAGGGAAUCUUCCACAAUGGGCGAAAGCCUGAUGGAGCAACGCCGCGUGUGUGAUGAAGGGUUUCGGCUCGUAAAACACUGUUGUAAGAGAAGAAUGACAUUGAGAGUAACUGUUCAAUGUGUGACGGUAUCUUACCAGAAAGGAACGGCUAAAUACGUGCCAGCAGCCGCGGUAAUACGUAUGUUCCAAGCGUUAUCCGGAUUUAUUGGGCGUAAAGCGAGCGCAGACGGUUAUUUAAGUCUGAAGUGAAAGCCCUCAGCUCAACUGAGGAAUUGCUUUGGAAACUGGAUGACUUGAGUGCAGUAGAGGAAAGUGGAACUCCAUGUGUAGCGGUGAAAUGCGUAGAUAUAUGGAAGAACACCAGUGGCGAAGGCGGCUUUCUGGACUGUAACUGACGUUGAGGCUCGAAAGUGUGGGUAGCAAACAGGAUUAGAUACCCUGGUAGUCCACACCGUAAACGAUGAGUGCUAGGUGUUUGAGGGUUUCCGCCCUUAAGUGCCGCAGCUAACGCAUUAAGCACUCCGCCUGGGGAGUACGACCGCAAGGUUGAAACUCAAAGGAAUUGACGGGGACCCGCACAAGCGGUGGAGCAUGUGGUUUAAUUCGAAGCAACGCGAAGAACCUUACCAGGUCUUGACAUCCCUUGACAACUCCAGAGAUGGAGCGUUCCCUUCGGGGACAAGGUGACAGGUGGUGCAUGGUUGUCGUCAGCUCGUGUCGUGAGAUGUUGGGUUAAGUCCCGCAACGAGCGCAACCCUUAUUACUAGUUGCCAGCAUUCAGUUGGGCACUCUAGUGAGACUGCCGGUGACAAACCGGGGGAAGGUGGGGAUGACGUCAAAUCAUCAUGCCCCUUAUGACCUGGGCUACACACGUGCUACAAUGGCGUAUACAACGAGUUGCCAACCCGCGAGGGUGAGCUAAUCUCUUAAAGUACGUCUCAGUUCGGAUUGUAGGCUGCAACUCGCCUACAUGAAGUCGGAAUCGCUAGUAAUCGCGGAUCAGCACGCCGCGGUGAAUACGUUCCCGGGUCU
RNAcentral lists this ribosomal RNA (1398 nucleotides) under uncultured bacterium. RNAcentral's name for it is "bacterial SSU rRNA". It matches the Rfam family "Bacterial small subunit ribosomal RNA", at positions 28 to 1381 of the family's 1533-position model. The record is from RNAcentral.